GAAAUGCGAUAAGUAAUGUGAAUUGCAGAAUUCAGUGAAUCAUCGAAUCUUUGAACGCACAUUGCGCCCGCCAGUAUUCUGGCGGGCAUGCCUGUUCGAGCGUCAUUUCAACCAUCAAGCCCCCGGCUUGUGUUGGGGACCUGCGGCUGCCCGCAGGCCCUGAAAAACAGUGGCGGGCUCGCUGUCACACCGAGCGUAGUAGCAUACAUUCUCGCUCAGGGCGUGCUGCGGGUUCCGGCCGUUAAACGACAUUCAUAACCCAAGGUUGACCUCGGAUCAGGUAGGAAGACCCGCUGAACUUAAGC
This 305-nucleotide unclassified non-coding RNA is filed under the name plant metagenome. Its description in RNAcentral is "partial contains 5.8S ribosomal RNA, internal transcribed spacer 2, and large subunit ribosomal RNA". The stretch from base 1 to 105 matches the Rfam family "5.8S ribosomal RNA", at positions 50 to 154 of the family's 154-position model. The record is from RNAcentral.